UACGAAGGGGGCUAGCGUUGCUCGGAAUCACUGGGCGUAAAGGGUGCGUAGGCGGGUUUUUAAGUCAGGGGGGAAAUCCUGGAGCUCAACUCCAGAACUGCCUUUGAUACUGAAGAUCUUGAGUUCGGGAGAGGUGAGUGGAACUGCGAGUGUAGAGGUGAAAUUCGUAGAUAUUCGCAAGAACACCAGUGGCGAAGGCGGCUCACUGGCCCGGUACUGACGCUGAGGCACGAAAGCGUGGGGAGCAAACAGG
This 253-nucleotide ribosomal RNA is filed under the name uncultured bacterium. RNAcentral's name for it is "partial 16S ribosomal RNA". It matches the Rfam family "Bacterial small subunit ribosomal RNA", at positions 524 to 776 of the family's 1533-position model. The record is from RNAcentral.